RNAcentral lists this ribosomal RNA (462 nucleotides) under uncultured bacterium. RNAcentral describes it as "partial 16S ribosomal RNA". It matches the Rfam family "Bacterial small subunit ribosomal RNA", at positions 28 to 507 of the family's 1533-position model. The record is from RNAcentral.
GACGAACGCUGGCGGCGUGCUUAACACAUGCAAGUCGAACGGAAAGGCCCUUCGGGGUACUCGAGUGGCGAACGGGUGAGUAACACGUGGGUGAUCUGCCCUGCACUUUGGGAUAAGCCUGGGAAACUGGGUCUAAUACCGAAUAGGACCACGCGCCUCAUGGUGUGUGGUGGAAAGCUUUUGCGGUGUGGGAUGGGCCCGCGGCCUAUCAGCUUGUUGGUGGGGUAAUGGCCUACCAAGGCGACGACGGGUAGCCGGCCUGAGAGGGUGACCGGCCACACUGGGACUGAGAUACGGCCCAGACUCCUACGGGAGGCAGCAGUGGGGAAUAUUGCACAAUGGGCGCAAGCCUGAUGCAGCGACGCCGCGUGAGGGAUGACGGCCUUCGGGUUGUAAACCUCUUUCAAUAGGGACGAAGCGCAAGUGACGGUACCUAUAGAAGAAGCACCGGCCAACUACGUG